UACAGAGGUCUCAAGCGUUGUUCGGAUUCAUUGGGCGUAAAGGGUGCGUAGGCGGCGCGGUAAGUCGGGUGUGAAAUCUCGGAGCUUAACUCCGAAACUGCAUUCGAUACUGCCGUGCUUGAGGACUGGAGAGGAGACUGGAAUUUACGGUGUAGCGGUGAAAUGCGUAGAUAUCAAGAGGAACACCUGAGGUGAAGACGGGUUGCUGGGCUGACACUGACGCUGAGGCGCGAAAGCUAGGGUAGCAAACGGG
RNAcentral lists this ribosomal RNA (253 nucleotides) under uncultured bacterium. RNAcentral describes it as "partial 16S ribosomal RNA". It matches the Rfam family "Bacterial small subunit ribosomal RNA", at positions 524 to 776 of the family's 1533-position model. The record is from RNAcentral.